RNAcentral lists this ribosomal RNA (486 nucleotides) under uncultured bacterium. RNAcentral describes it as "partial 16S ribosomal RNA". It matches the Rfam family "Bacterial small subunit ribosomal RNA", at positions 28 to 507 of the family's 1533-position model. The record is from RNAcentral.
GAUGAACGCUGGCGGCAUGCCUAACACAUGCAAGUCGAGCGGCAGCACGGGUGCUUGACCUUGGUGGCGAUUGGCGAGCGGGGGAGAAUUACACAGGAAAACGUUAUCUAGAGGAGGGGAGUACGUCGGAAACAGGAAUACUACAGCAUACGAUCAUUGGAAGAAAGCAGGGUAACAAAGGACCGAGGGCAAUGGGGUGCGCCCUCGAUGGAUUAGCGAGUUGGUGGGGUAAAGGCAACCCAAGGCAAUGCUCAGUAGAUGGUCUGAGGGGACGACCAGCCACACUGGGACUGAGACACGGCCCAGACUCCUACGGGAGGCAGCAGUGGGGAAUUUUGGACAAUGGGCGAAAGCCUGACCCAGCAAUGCCGCGUGUGUGAAGAAGGCCUUCGGGUUGUAAAUCUCUUUUGUCCGGGAAGAAAGCCUUGGCUAUCAUCCUGUCGGUGGAUGACGGUACCGUAAGAAUAAGCACCGGCUAACUACGUG